This 403-nucleotide ribosomal RNA is filed under the name uncultured bacterium. Its description in RNAcentral is "partial 16S ribosomal RNA". It matches the Rfam family "Bacterial small subunit ribosomal RNA", at positions 30 to 526 of the family's 1533-position model. The record is from RNAcentral.
AUUGAACGCUGGCGGCAGGCCUAACACAUGCAAGUCGAGCGAGCGGCGGACGGGUGAGUAAUGUAUGGGGACUGCCCGUUAGAGGGGGAUCACUACUGGAAACCGUCGCUUAUACCGCAUACUAUCGGAUAACCUAUAUGGGAUUAGCUAGUAGGUGGGGUAAAGGCUCACCUAGGCGACGAUCUCUAGCUGGUCUGAGAGGAGGAUCAGCCACACUGGGACUGAGACACGGCCCAGACUCCUACGGAGGAAGAAGGGGGGAAGAUUGCACAAUGGGCGCAAGCCUGAUGCAGCCAUGCCGCGUGUAUGAAGAAGGCCUUAGGGUGGUAAAGUACUUUCAGCGGGGAGGCGUUACCCGCAGAAGAAGCACCGGCUAACUCCGUGCCAGCAGCCGCGGUAAUAC